Molecule: transfer RNA, 93 nt
Filed under: Streptomyces abikoensis
Lineage: Bacteria; Bacillati; Actinomycetota; Actinomycetes; Kitasatosporales; Streptomycetaceae
Description: tRNA-Ala
Source: RNAcentral
GGCAACGAGGGGCGCGGCUACGUGCUGCGGCGCGUGCUGCGCCGGGCCGUGCGCUCGGUACGGCUGCUGGGGUACCAGGACCCGGCGCUGCCC